CCCAUGUCUUCAAGUGUCCCCUAUUUUCCCAUUGUCCCAAUUUGUCCCAGCCAGAGUCCCCUAGUCUCCCAGUGUCACUGGUGUCUCUGUGUCCCUAGGUGUCCCCAGGUAUCCUCGUCUUCCUAGUGUCCUAGUGACAUGGGUACCCUGGAAUACAUGGGGACACAGGGAGACAUGGGGCAUUGAGACACUGUGAUACAUAGGAUCACUGGGAGACCUGGGGACACGACACUAGGGGACACUGGGAGACAUGGGGCACUGAGACACUGAUACAUAGGAACACUGAGACCUGGAGUAAUUGACACAUGGGGGCACUGAGUCAUGAGGGCACUGGGAGACAUGGGGGCACUGGGAGGAAUCCAUCUAUACAGCAGAAUCAAACUAAG
Pelobates cultripes (western spadefoot toad) is the source of this 386-nucleotide non-coding RNA. NCBI's taxonomy places the organism in Eukaryota, Metazoa, Chordata, Amphibia, Anura, Pelobatidae. The record is from the annotation of a GenBank genome assembly.